RNAcentral lists this long non-coding RNA (230 nucleotides) under Vigna radiata. RNAcentral describes it as "long non-coding RNA (VRAD_LNC018203)". Lineage: Eukaryota; Viridiplantae; Streptophyta; Magnoliopsida; Fabales; Fabaceae. The record is from RNAcentral.
CUUUCAUGUUUAUCUAAAAGCUUUUCCAAAUUAAAAUUUAUUCCCUUUAAUUCUAUUAUAAUAUUUAUACUAAACCAAGAAGCGUACCAAACAUUCCUAAUAUUUAUAUUAAAAUAUUAUAAAUUAUCAUGAUUCUAAACAUUUCCAACUAUCAUCCUUCUCUUUUAAACAAAUUUCAUUGAUUUUUAUGACUGCACUUAUCUUACCCCUUUUAAACUUGAGCUCAUAUU